CCUAGGGUGCAGCAGUCGAGAAUCUUCCGCAAUGGACGAAAGUCUGACGGAGCGACGCCGCGUGCGGGAUGAAGGCCUUCGGGUUGUAAACCGCUGUCAGUGGGGAGGAAAUGCAUCAGGGUUCUCCCUGGUGUUUGACCGAUCCGCAGAGGAAGCGCAGGCUAAGUUCGUGCCAGCAGCCGCGGUAACACGAACUGCGCGAACGUUAUUCGGAAUCACUGGGCUUAAAGAGUUCGUAGGCGGCCUUUCAAGUCGGGUGUGAAAUCCCUCGGCUCAACCGAGGAAUUGCGCCUGAUACUGUUGGGCUUGAGGGGGAUAGGGGUGAGCGGAACUGAUGGUGGAGCGGUGAAAUGCGUUGAUAUCAUCAGGAACACCGGUGGCGAAGGCGGCUCACUGGAUCUCUUCUGACGCUGAGGAACGAAAGCUAGGGGAGCGAACGGGAUUAGAUACCCCAGUAGUC
RNAcentral lists this ribosomal RNA (460 nucleotides) under uncultured bacterium. RNAcentral describes it as "partial 16S ribosomal RNA". It matches the Rfam family "Bacterial small subunit ribosomal RNA", at positions 338 to 795 of the family's 1533-position model. The record is from RNAcentral.